RNAcentral lists this ribosomal RNA (253 nucleotides) under uncultured bacterium. RNAcentral's name for it is "partial 16S ribosomal RNA". It matches the Rfam family "Bacterial small subunit ribosomal RNA", at positions 524 to 776 of the family's 1533-position model. The record is from RNAcentral.
UACAGAGGGUGCGAGCGUUAAUCGGAAUUACUGGGCGUAAAGCGCAUGUAGGUGGUUUGAUAAGUUUGAUGUGAAAGCCCCGGGCUUAACCUGGGAAUAGCGUUGAAAACUGUAAGACUAGAGUCGGACAGAGGGUGGAGGAAUUUCCGGUGUAGCGGUGAAAUGCGUAGAGAUCGGAAAGAACACCAGUGGCGAAGGCGUCUGCCUGGGUCCAGACUGACACUGAGGUGCGAAAGCGUGGGGAGCAAACAGG